Molecule: ribosomal RNA, 253 nt
Filed under: uncultured bacterium
Lineage: Bacteria
Description: partial 16S ribosomal RNA
Rfam family: Bacterial small subunit ribosomal RNA
Source: RNAcentral
UACAGAGGUCUCAAGCGUUGUUCGGAUUCAUUGGGCGUAAAGGGUGCGUAGGUGGCAUGGUAAGUCGGAUGUGAAAUCCCGGGGCUCAACCCCGGAACUGCAUUCGAUACUGCUGAGCUAGAGUACUGGAGAGGAGAUUGGAAUUUACGGUGUAGCAGUGAAAUGCGCAGAUAUCAGGAGGAACACCGGUGGCGAAGGCGGGUCUCUGGGCCGAUACUGACGCUGAGGAGCGAAAGCGUGGGGAGCAAACAGG